GUGCAGCAGUCGAGAAAACUUCACACUGUGCGAAAGCACGAUGAGGGAAUCCCAAGUGCUUGCACGUAAGUGUAAGCUGUUUCUCUGUCUAAAACGCAGAGAGAGUAAGGGCUGGGUAAGACGGGUGCCAGCCGCCGCGGUAAUACCUGCAGCUCAAGUGGUGACCGUUAUUAUUGGGCCUAAAACGUCCGUAGCCGGUUUAAUAAAUGCCUGGGUAAAUUGUGUAGCUUAACUAUACGAAUUCCGGGUAGACUGUUAAACUUGAGACCGGGAGAAGUUAGAGGUACUCCUGGGGUAGAGGUGAAAUUCUGUAAUCCUAGGGGGACCACCAGUGGCGAAGGCGUCUAACUAGAACGGGUCUGACGGUGAGGGACGAAGCCCUGGGGCGCAAAACGGGGAUUAGAUACCCCGGUAGU
Molecule: ribosomal RNA, 416 nt
Filed under: uncultured microorganism
Description: bacterial SSU rRNA
Rfam family: Archaeal small subunit ribosomal RNA
Source: RNAcentral